UACGGGGGGGGUAAGCGUUGUUCGGAAUUACUGGGCGUAAAGGGCUCGUAGGCGGCCAACUAAGUCAGACGUGAAAUCCCUCAGCUUAACUGGGGAACUGCGUCUGAUACUGGAUGGCUUGGAUUCGGGAGAGGAAUGCGGAAUUCCAGGUGUAGCGGUGAAAUGCGUAGAUAUCAGGAGGAACACCGAUGGCGAAGGCAGGUCUCUGGGCUGACACUGACGCUCAUGCACGAAAGCGUGGGGAGCAAACAGG
This 253-nucleotide ribosomal RNA is filed under the name uncultured bacterium. RNAcentral's name for it is "partial 16S ribosomal RNA". It matches the Rfam family "Bacterial small subunit ribosomal RNA", at positions 524 to 776 of the family's 1533-position model. The record is from RNAcentral.